AGCAGCGUGGCUUAGUAGCAAGAGCCCGGUCUUGGGAGUCAGAGGUCACGGGUUCAAAUCCCGGCUCUGCUG
Molecule: non-coding RNA, 72 nt
Organism: Ornithorhynchus anatinus (platypus)
Lineage: Eukaryota; Metazoa; Chordata; Mammalia; Monotremata; Ornithorhynchidae
Source: Rfam